CCUACGGGAGACAGCAGUAGGGAAUCUUUCACAAUGGGCGAAAGCCUGAUGGAGCAACGCCGCGUGCAGGAUGAAGGCCUUCGGGUUGUAAACUGCUUUUAUAAGCGAGAAAUAUGAUGGUAACUUAUGAAUAAGGAUCGGCUAACUACGUGCCAGCAGCCGCGGUCAUACGUAGGAUCCGAGCAUUAUCCGGAGUGACUGGGUGUAAAGAGUUGCGUAGGUGGCAUAAUAAGUAGCUAGUGAAAUCUGGUGGCUCAACCAUUCAGACUAUUUGCUAAACUGUUAAGCUCGAGACCGUUAGGGGUAACUGGAAUUUCUAGUGUAGGAGUGAAAUCCGUAGAUAUUAGAAGGAACACCAAUAGCGUAGGUAGGUUGCUGGGACGGUUCUGACACUAAGGCACGAAAGCGUAGGGAGCAAACGGGAUUAGAUACCCCGGUAGUC
This 442-nucleotide ribosomal RNA is filed under the name uncultured bacterium. Its description in RNAcentral is "partial 16S ribosomal RNA". It matches the Rfam family "Bacterial small subunit ribosomal RNA", at positions 338 to 795 of the family's 1533-position model. The record is from RNAcentral.